GCGGUGGUAGCUGAGUCGGGUAAGCGCGCGCUUCUCACGCAAGAGAUGCGGGUUCGAAUCCCGGCGCUGACAUGUA
Molecule: transfer RNA, 76 nt
Filed under: Plutella xylostella (diamondback moth)
Lineage: Eukaryota; Metazoa; Arthropoda; Insecta; Lepidoptera; Plutellidae
Description: tRNA-Glu
Source: RNAcentral